Molecule: unclassified non-coding RNA, 279 nt
Filed under: plant metagenome
Description: partial contains small subunit ribosomal RNA, internal transcribed spacer 1, and 5.8S ribosomal RNA
Source: RNAcentral
UUUCCGUAGGUGAACCUGCGGAGGGAUCAUUAUCGAGCAGCAUAACACCGUAAAGCAAUGGCAACCGCUGACCAAACAGUCGUUCAGGCGCGGGUGUGGGGUCUUGCCUAAUAGGCCAUCCCACCCUUUGUGCCUCACCGCCUGGGGACCCUACGGAAUCAUCUCUGAGGGAGGGUCGCGUUGUCACACCAACACCCCCUUUAAAAGAGUAGAAUGACCACGUUUAUUCGAUCAAUGCAACUUUCAACAACGGAGCACUUGGCUCUCGCAUCCAUUAAA